GGUCAAGCUACAAAGGGCAGAUGGUGGAUACCUAGGCACACAGAGGCGAUGAAGGACGUGACGACCGACGAUAUGCUUCGGGGAGCUGGAAGUAAGCAUUGAUCCGAAGAUUUCCGAAUAGGGCAACCUUUAACAUGACUACCUGAAUCCAUAGGGUAGAGCAAGCUAACCCAGCGAAUUGAAACAUCUUAGUAGCUGG
RNAcentral lists this ribosomal RNA (199 nucleotides) under Leptolyngbya sp. PCC 73110. Its description in RNAcentral is "partial 23S ribosomal RNA". It matches the Rfam family "Bacterial large subunit ribosomal RNA", at positions 1 to 213 of the family's 2925-position model. The record is from RNAcentral. Lineage: Bacteria; Bacillati; Cyanobacteriota; Cyanophyceae; Leptolyngbyales; Leptolyngbyaceae.